Molecule: small RNA, 2137 nt
Filed under: Rattus norvegicus (Norway rat)
Lineage: Eukaryota; Metazoa; Chordata; Mammalia; Rodentia; Muridae
Description: uncharacterized LOC108352894
Source: RNAcentral
GAGCUAAAUCCCCAACCCCCCCUCUUACCUUUAAUGCUCCUUGGCAAUGCACCAAGGACCAAGCACUCCCUGGGAAAUCCAAUCUGGGGGUUGAGUCCUGGCAGGAUUUAGACUCAAACAAGAGCAUCAUUCAAGCUAACGAGGGCUGGAACAAGUAACAUCACUGUGAGGAUCUGACUACCGAGCGUGCAUAUUAAUCAGAUUAACUCGUUUCUUGCUUUUGCUGUUGUGGCAAUCGAACUGAGGACAAGGCUGGCUACCCAUUGUGACUUCUACAGAGGAAACUACAACCUACAUAUGGCCUUUAGUGACCUCCGGCUCCCUCCAAGGCUGUUUAAUAAAAACCAUGGUUUGACCGGCAAUAGAAUGAUCCAAAUAAGAAACAUCCUUUCAUUCUAUCUCCCAACAAAAUGAACACAGACCAAGAGAUGGAGAGUGUAUACAAGCACAUCCCGUGAUUACAUGGAGAGACGAGGAGACGAGAGCUCUAAGACCAAAACUGCCGCUGCUACUGAUGAGACGAGGGGCUGAGAGCAGCGUCCAGAGGCACAGAGCAUCUGCUUCUGACAGACGGGGGUCUGAAUGCUGCUCUUCUCCAGAGCGGACAGAAACUCAGUGAAAUCCGACUGUUGGCACGUGAGGAAAAGUAAGUGGACACACUCCUUUGCUUACAGGGGCACGCUCUUCCUUUCAGUUGAUAAUCAACAACACACGCUCAACCACCUUUAACGACAGCAUAGGACACGGGCCUAAUUUUCCUGAGAGUUAAGCGAGACCUGCUAAUAAACAGGCUAUGAAGCUGACCCGAGUGACUGGAACCUCCAAACUCAGACAUGGCGCUUCAGCCCCACUAGCUAAGUCUCGGCCGUUAGAGCAAAGGUGCCUCUGUCAGCCACAUGCUUGGUCACACAGCCUUGGAACUGUCAGGCACUAGAAAAAAGUGCCGUCUAUUGUGCGAAUUCGAUGGCCGCCGAGGAGCGGGCAGCACUGAGGGUAAGGGGUAAUACCACAGAAAGCCACAGGCUCUGCCGCCCUGGAGAGAGAGCAGCAAGGGCCAUGUGGGCUGACCAGCUCUGCUCCCAUCUGCUGAGGACUGCCGGAAGCUGCAAAGCUCUUCACACACAAGACAGACAGCACCUUGAGUGGAACCUAUGGAGAGCCACCAGAUGUGAGUGUUGGCUACGGCAGGAAUGGCUACUGCUCCCUUGAUGUUAACUCCUCGUCUGAGUGUAAGAAUCUGGACGGUAUCUGUUAGGUAAAACUGGGCUUCGUGGCCAUCUUCUAACCUACUAACAUUUGCAGGCUUCUCCAGGUCACUCACGAGUGACAUCGUUAAAUAGCACAGGGAAGAAUAUGGCCUGGCUUUAAGCCACACUCUCUCCAUUUGCUGUGUAAUCUAAUACAAGGCACUUGAAGAACUGGUGCCUCGGUGUACGAACACGUGACGUGGUAAUGUGUUCACUUACCUCAGGAAGCGGAUACACAGACGGCUGGGCGCUCCAAGCGGACGGGACAGCACGGUGGAAACAUCUACAGCCCAGAAAAACCCCAGUGCCUCAGUGUCCACUUCCUGUGCCCGAGUCACCAUGCUUUCCUUUCCUUUCCAUAGUAAAUGUUAGCGGCGGCCCACUCCUUCACAUGUGUUAGCUGUUUGGCACACAGAUAUUUAUAUAUUUCAAGUCAUCAUGUUCUCUAGUCCAAAGCUGUUUCUUAAUUUUCUAAUACAGAGAAUCCAAUAAACACAAAUGUGGAGUCCCUGUGCUGAGAACAUUUAACUUUCUCUGAAGUAUAUGAGAUAUCAUUAAAAAAAAAAAUUGAACUAGUGCUGUGUGAAACCAUGUUUUUAAUGAAAAAUAAAACAAAAAAAAAACCAAAACAAAAAAAAAAACCCCAAAAAACCAAAAAAACAAAAACAAAAAAACAAAACCCAACCCCCCAGACCCCCUGAAAUUACGCCACAGGAUCAGCUACUCAUUUACAAAGAUGGAGUUUUGAGAAAAAGGAGCCUCAACAUGAUACAGAGUAGAUGUGGCAAAAGAGACAUUAAGCAUGUUUCCUGCACUGAAGUAAGUAGGGAUGAUAAAUUAUAAGUACAGUAGUUCAAAUAUUGCUUUUUAGCAUUAGCUUUUCAAAACAA